UAGAGUAAUGGCUCACAAAUUAUUAUGUUCCUUACAAGUAUUUGGAUUAUUUAUAGUGAAAUUGGUGAUAUUUGAUACAAGAAAUGUGGUUUUAUGUGUCGAGAUACGCAUUGUAGUGUUCUGAUCAUAUUAUAAAUGAAUAUUCAGCAAAAUGCAAAGUGUGUUAUUGUUUCAAGUUUCGGCAGGAGUCCACAGCAUUGAUCUUUAAAAAAACAACAUUCACCGUUUACCUAUUUUCGGCAGCAUUUAAAGUGAAUAAUCACUUGUUUUUCGUGAUUUGUGAAAAUUCCUAGUGGGCUAGAAUAAAUUCUGCAACCAUAGGAUCUUUCAUAAAAAACACUCUUUUAGUGCUCUGGUUCUCUUAAUAAUGAAACCUGCCAAACUAUUGGCUGACAGCAAAUCUGCCGAAACAUGUUGAACACUCCACAUUUUGUUUGAUAUUUUGAAAAAUAUACAAGGAAAUGAUGUGAAACUUCGUAUAUGAAUAACAAAUGAGCAUAUUUCUAUUUAGAAAAAUAUGUGUUGAGACAAUUUCCAACUCGUUUUUGCGGCGCAGUGCUCGUUUAAGGCGUUCAUUCAUCCACUGGCGCACACUUCAAAGCGGAAAGAAAGCUAAAACCCAAGCGGAACGCCGAUUGGAGUUCGGAGGAUCUUCACACUUUGGCUUGCGGCAGCCGGAGUACCGCAACCCCACCGGAAUCGAAAAGCAUUCAUCAAAGGGACGGUAUUUUUUUCCUUCCUCAAAGUUGCCCAAGAACGAGACAUACAAAAAAGCUCUAGUUUGGUGAACGACCGACGAAAAAGCACCAUUGACAGUGGAUCCUCAAGAAAAAGCUUUCGUUCAAUUUCGAUUUUGUGUGCGUAUGUAUUUGUGAAUGUGUUUUGGUAGCGUGCAGUGCUAACCAACCGAACGAUCGAAACGUUGCAAGCUCCGUUACCUUACCGCAUCCGGAGGGAGGAAAACUGUUCCAGGCUCAAGAAGAUCCUGCGGCCGUGGAAUUCCCGUACCGGGCUAGAGCAGGAUU
Molecule: long non-coding RNA, 1025 nt
Organism: Anopheles merus
Lineage: Eukaryota; Metazoa; Arthropoda; Insecta; Diptera; Culicidae
Exons: 3
Source: RefSeq, a predicted model, not a curated record